UUACCGCAAACCGACACUGGUGCGCGAGAUGAGUAUUCUCAGGCGCUUGAGAGAACUCGGGAGAAGGAACUCGGCAAAUUGACACCGUAACUUCGGAAGAAGGUGUGCCUUUAGUAGGUGAACCUGUACAAGGGGAGCCCAAUGAGGUUGCAAAAAAUCGGUGGCUGCGACUGUUUAAUAAAAACACAGCACUCUGCAAACACGAAAGUGGACGUAUAGGGUGUGACGCCUGCCCGGUGCUGGAAGAUUAAGUGAUGGGGUGCAAGCUCUUGAUCGAAGUCCCAGUAAACGGCGGCCGUAACAAUAACGGUCCUAAGGUAGCGAAAUUCCUUGUCGGGUAAGUUCCGACCUGCACGAAUGGCGUAACGAUGGCCACACUGUCUCCUCCCGAGACUCAGCGAAGUUGAAGUGUUUGUGAUGAUGCAAUCUCCCCGCGGAAAGACGGAAAGACCCCAUGAACCUUUACUGUAGCUUUGUAUUGGACUUUGAACGGAUCUGUGUAGGAUAGGUGGGAGGCUUUGAAGCAGGGUCGCUAGAUCUUGUGGAGCCAACGUUGAAAUACCACCCUGGUGCGUUUGAGGUUCUAACCUAGGCCCGUUAUCCGGGCCGGGGACAGUGCAUGGUAGGCAGUUUGACUGGGGCGGUCUCCUCCCAAAGCGUAACGGAGGAGUUCGAAGGUACGCUAGUUACGGUCGGACAUCGUGACGAUAGUGCAAUGGCAUAAGCGUGCUUAACUGCGAGACUGACAAGUCGAGCAGAUGCGAAAGCAGGACAUAGUGAUCCGGUGGUUCUGUAUGGAAGGGCCAUCGCUCAACGGAUAAAAGGUACUCUGGGGAUAACAGGCUGAUACCGCCCAAGAGUUCAUAUCGACGGCGGUGUUUGGCACCUCGAUGUCGGCUCAUCUCAUCCUGGGGCUGUAGCCGGUCCCAAGGGUAUGGCUGUUCGCCAUUUAAAGAGGUACGUGAGCUGGGUUUAAAACGUCGUGAGACAGUUUGGUCCCUAUCUUCCGUGGGCGCUGCAGAUUUGAGGAAGCCUGCUCCUAGUACGAGAGGACCGGAGUGGACGCACCUCUGGUGUACCUGUUGUCACGCCAGUGGCAUUGCAGGGUAGCUAAGUGCGGAAGAGAUAACCGCUGAAAGCAUCUAAGCGGGAAACUCGUUUCAAGAUGAGAUCUGCCGGGGCCUUGAGCCCCCUGAAGAGUCGUUCUAGACCAGGACGUUGAUAGGUCAGGUGUGGAAGCGCAGUAAUGCGUUAAGCUAACUGAUACUAAUUGCUCGUGCGGCUUGACCA
Molecule: ribosomal RNA, 1290 nt
Filed under: metagenome
Description: bacterial LSU rRNA
Rfam family: Bacterial large subunit ribosomal RNA
Source: RNAcentral